AACGAACGCUGGCGGCAGGCCUAACACAUGCAAGUCGAGCGAGGACUUCGGUCCUAGCGGCGGACGGGUGAGUAACGCGUGGGAACGUGCCCUUUGCUUCGGAAUAGCCCUGGGAAACUGGGAGUAAUACCGGAUGAGCCCUUUGGGGGAAAGAUUUAUCGGCGAAGGAUCGGCCCGCGUUGGAUUAGGUAGUUGGUGGGGUAAUGGCCUACCAAGCCGACGAUCCAUAGCUGGUUUGAGAGGAUGAUCAGCCACACUGGGACUGAGACACGGCCCAGACUCCUACGGGAGGCAGCAGUGGGUGAUCUUAGACAAUGGGGGAAACCCUGAUCUAGCCAUGCUGCGUGAGCGAUGAAGGCCUUAGAGUUGUAAAGCUCUUUCAGCUGGGAAGAUAAUGACGGUACCAACAGAAGAAGCCCCGGCUAACUCCGUG
RNAcentral lists this ribosomal RNA (433 nucleotides) under uncultured bacterium. Its description in RNAcentral is "partial 16S ribosomal RNA". It matches the Rfam family "Bacterial small subunit ribosomal RNA", at positions 29 to 507 of the family's 1533-position model. The record is from RNAcentral.